Molecule: unclassified non-coding RNA, 160 nt
Filed under: Oryza sativa (Asian cultivated rice)
Lineage: Eukaryota; Viridiplantae; Streptophyta; Magnoliopsida; Poales; Poaceae
Description: partial microRNA MIR440a-2-as precursor
Source: RNAcentral
AAAGAGUAAUUUUAUGGUUCUUGAGGAGGUACCAUGAGGUAUCACUUUUUCUAUUGUUAAUUUGAUACCUUUAGGUAUCUAGGUACCAUGAGGUAUCAAAUUUUACACUAAACUUUUGUACCUCAUGCUAUCUACUCAAGAACCGUAGAAUUGCUCGCUA